UUGACAGGUAACGGAUAUCUUUCAGAGUCUAGUCUCUGUCUGUCAGUGUCUGUUCAGUUCUUUGCUGUUGUUUUGGAUUGUGGUUUGUUACUGCAUCUGAGCAAUUUAAGCAAAUUAUCUGGUCAUUUUUACGUUGAGUCGAGGAACUGCUCCUCCGUACUCUAUCUGUUGAUAGUACUUUCGCGAAAGGACGCUUUAUUACUUGUGUUGUGUAUAACACCUGCUGACCAUGUUUGCCGCACGGAACAAAUAUUUGAAUGAUCUGCAAGUUGUUGUUCUGGGUCUGGGUAUUUCUGCACAUGAGUUUCUAUGUUGAUGAAAUAAUACUAAGAAUAGAUUAAAUAAUUAUAAGAACAAUAAAAUAGAUGUAUAUUCCUACAAAAA
Helicoverpa zea (corn earworm) is the source of this 384-nucleotide long non-coding RNA. RefSeq lists it as uncharacterized. NCBI's taxonomy places the organism in Eukaryota, Metazoa, Arthropoda, Insecta, Lepidoptera, Noctuidae. The transcript is spliced from 2 exons. The record is from RefSeq and is a predicted model, not a curated record.